UCUUCUUCUUCCCAUCUUUUCUUCUUUCCAUCUCGUCGGAAAUAUAUAUCCCACCACAAGAAGCUUCCCCCUUUCUUCAAAGCGUCGCCUUGUUGUACUCUAACCGCCGCUGUCGUCGUUUCUUUUUAUUUUUCUGUGACAACAGCCCAUCACCACUUCCGCCUCCAUCACGGCUGCCUUCAACCACCAUAGAAGCCGACAACCAUCAACACCGCCAGCCAUCAUUGUCAGCCGACUUUCUCGUUUAUAUGAUGAUACUUGGUUAGUUUGAAUAGUUUGUGUAUAAUUUUAGUUUGUAUAGUAAUGUUUGUUUAUUUUGAUAUAAUCGAUUAGAGUUUGUUAUUAAUGAAAGUUUGUUUAUAUGAAUUUUGUGUAUGAUUCUUUAUGUAAAUUAGUGGGUAUAUUAUGGAAUUUAUUUUUAUGUUUUGUA
Long non-coding RNA from Erigeron canadensis, 430 nucleotides. RefSeq lists it as uncharacterized. Lineage: Eukaryota; Viridiplantae; Streptophyta; Magnoliopsida; Asterales; Asteraceae. The transcript is spliced from 2 exons. The record is from RefSeq and is a predicted model, not a curated record.